This 448-nucleotide ribosomal RNA is filed under the name uncultured bacterium. RNAcentral describes it as "SSU rRNA". It matches the Rfam family "Bacterial small subunit ribosomal RNA", at positions 26 to 518 of the family's 1533-position model. The record is from RNAcentral.
AGAGCGAACGCUGGCGGCAGGCUUAACACAUGCAAGUCGAGCGGGCGUAGCAAUACGUCAGCGGCAGACGGGUGAGUAACGCGUGGGAACGUACCUUUUGGUUCGGAACAACCCAGGGAAACUUGGGCUAAUACCGGAUAAGCCCUUACGGGGAAAGAUUUAUCGCCGAAAGAUCGGCCCGCGUCUGAUUAGCUAGUUGGUGAGGUAAUGGCUCACCAAGGCGACGAUCAGUAGCUGGUCUGAGAGGAUGAUCAGCCACAUUGGGACUGAGACACGGCCCAAACUCCUACGGGAGGCAGCAGUGGGGAAUAUGGACAAUGGGCGCAAGCCGUGAUCCAGCCAUGCCGCGUGAGUGAUGAAGGCCCUAGGGUUGUAAAGCUCUUUUGUGCGGGAAGAUAAUGACGGUACCGCAAGAAUAAGCCCCGGCUAACUUCGUGCCAGCAGCCGC